AACGCUAGCUACAGGCUUAACACAUGCAAGUCGAGGGGCAUCAGGGUAGCAAUACCGCUGGCGACCGGCGCACGGGUGAGUAACACGUAUCCAACCUACCGUUAACUCGGGGAUAGCCUUUCGAAAGAAAGAUUAAUACCCGAUAGUAUAUUUUCUUCGCAUGUUGAAAAUAUUAAAGAAUUUCGGUUAUCGAUGGGGAUGCGUUCCAUUAGGCAGUUGGCGGGGUAACGGCCCACCAAACCUACGAUGGAUAGGGGUUCUGAGAGGAAGGUCCCCCACAUUGGAACUGAGACACGGUCCAAACUCCUACGGGAGGCAGCAGUGAGGAAUAUUGGUCAAUGGACGCGAGUCUGAACCAGCCAAGUAGCGUGAAGGAUGACUGCCCUAUGGGUUGUAAACUUCUUUUAUAUGGGAAUAAAGUUCUCCACGUGUGGAGUUUUGUAUGUACCAUUAUGAAUAAGCAUCGGCUAACUCCGUGCCAGCAGCCGCGGUAAUACGGAGGAUGCGAGCGUUAUCCGGAUUUAUUGGGUUUAAAGGGAGCGUAGGUGGACUGGUAAGUCAGUUGUGAAAGUUUGCGGCUCAACCGUAAAAUUGCAGUUGAUACUGUCAGUCUUGAGUACAGUAGAGGUGGGCGGAAUUCGUGGUGUAGCGGUGAAAUGCUUAGAUAUCACGAAGAACUCCGAUUG
This 686-nucleotide ribosomal RNA is filed under the name uncultured bacterium. Its description in RNAcentral is "bacterial SSU rRNA". It matches the Rfam family "Bacterial small subunit ribosomal RNA", at positions 32 to 715 of the family's 1533-position model. The record is from RNAcentral.